This 845-nucleotide ribosomal RNA is filed under the name Moelleriella sloaneae. RNAcentral describes it as "eukaryotic LSU rRNA". It matches the Rfam family "Eukaryotic large subunit ribosomal RNA", at positions 72 to 940 of the family's 3401-position model. Lineage: Eukaryota; Fungi; Ascomycota; Sordariomycetes; Hypocreales; Clavicipitaceae. The record is from RNAcentral.
GGAUUGCCCCAGUAACGGCGAGUGAAGCGGCAACAGCUCAAAUUUGAAAUCCGGCACCCCCCGGGGGGCCCGAGUUGUAAUUUGCAGAGGAUGCUUUUGGCGAGGCGCCUUCCGAGUUCCCUGGAACGGGACGCCACAGAGGGUGAGAGCCCCGUCUGGUCGGACGCCGAGCCUCUGUAAAGCUCCUUCGACGAGUCGAGUAGUUUGGGAAUGCUGCUCUAAAUGGGAGGUAUAUGUCUUCUAAAGCUAAAUACCGGCCAGAGACCGAUAGCGCACAAGUAGAGUGAUCGAAAGAUGAAAAGCACUUUGAAAAGAGGGUUAAACAGUACGUGAAAUUGUUGAAAGGGAAGCGCUCCCGACCAGACUUGGGCCCCGGCGGUUCAGCCAGCGUUCUCGCUGGCGCACUCCGCCGGGCCCAGGCCAGCAUCGGUUCGCGCCGGGGGACAAAGGCGUCGGGAACGUGGCUCCCCCGGGAGUGUUAUAGCCCGUCGCGCAAUGCCCUGGGGCGGACCGAGGUUCGCGCAUCUCGCAUGGAUGCUGGCGUAAUGGUCGGCAGUGACCCGUCUUGAAACACGGACCAAGGAGUCGUCCUCGUAUGCGAGUGUUCGGGUGUCAAACCCCUACGCGUAAUGAAAGUGAACGCAGGUGAGAGCUUCGGCGCAUCACCGACCGAUCCUGAUGUUCUCGGAUGGAUUUGAGUAGGAGCAUACGGGGCCGGACCCGAAAGAAGGUGAACUAUGCCUGUGUAGGGUGAAGCCAGAGGAAACUCUGGUGGAGGCUCGCAGCGGUUCUGACGUGCAAAUCGAUCGUCAAACAUGGGCAUGGGGGCGAAAGACUAAUCGAAC